CCUACGGGCGGCAGCAGUAGGGAAUAUUGCUCAAUGGGGGAAACCCUGAAGCAGCAACGCCGCGUGGAGGAUGAAGGCUUUAGGAUUGUAAACUCCUUUUGUUAGAGAAGAUAAUGACGGUAUCCAACGAAUAAGCACCGGCUAACUCCGUGCCAGCAGCCGCGGUAAUACGGAGGGUGCAAGCGUUACUCGGAAUCACUGGGCGUAAAGAGUGCGUAGGCGGGGUAGUAAGUCAGAUGUUAAAUCCUGAAGCUGAACUUGAGAACUGCAUUUGAUACUGGUACUCUGGAGUGUGGGAGAGGUAGAUGGAAUUCUUGGUGUAGGGGUGAAAUCCGUAGAGAUCAAGAGGAAUACUCAUUGCGAAAGCGACCUACUGGAACGUUACUGACGCUGAUGCACGAAAGCGAGGGUAGCAAACGGGAUUAGAUACCCUUGUAGUC
This 440-nucleotide ribosomal RNA is filed under the name uncultured bacterium. Its description in RNAcentral is "partial 16S ribosomal RNA". It matches the Rfam family "Bacterial small subunit ribosomal RNA", at positions 338 to 795 of the family's 1533-position model. The record is from RNAcentral.